ACAUGCAAGUCGAGCGAAGAGAUGGGAGCUUGCUCCCAGAUCUUAGCGGCGGACGGGUGAGUAACACGUGGGCAACCUGCCCUGCAGACUGGGAUAACUCCGGGAAACCGGAGCUAAUACCGGGUAAUACAUCGCACCGCAUGGUGCAAUGUUGAAAGUUGGCUUUCGAGCUAACACUGCAGGAUGGGCCCGCGGCGCAUUAGCUAGUUGGUAAGGUAAUGGCUUACCAAGGCGACGAUGCGUAGCCGACCUGAGAGGGUGAUCGGCCACACUGGGACUGAGACACGGCCCAGACUCCUACGGGAGGCAGCAGUAGGGAAUCUUCCGCAAUGGACGAAAGUCUGACGGAGCAACGCCGCGUGAGUGACGAAGGCCUUCGGGUCGUAAAGCUCUGUUGUUAGGGAAGAACAAGUACCGUUCGAAUAGGGCGGUACCUUGACGGUACCUAACCAGAAAGCCACGGCUAACUACGUGCCAACAGCCGCGGUAAUACGUAGGUGGCAAGCGUUGUCCGGAAUUAUUGGGCGUAAAGCGCGCGCAGGCGG
This 545-nucleotide ribosomal RNA is filed under the name Bacillus sp. 6-14. Its description in RNAcentral is "bacterial SSU rRNA". It matches the Rfam family "Bacterial small subunit ribosomal RNA", at positions 53 to 578 of the family's 1533-position model. The record is from RNAcentral. Lineage: Bacteria; Bacillati; Bacillota; Bacilli; Caryophanales; Bacillaceae.